Long non-coding RNA from Apodemus sylvaticus (European woodmouse), 1879 nucleotides. RefSeq lists it as uncharacterized. The transcript is spliced from 3 exons. The record is from RefSeq and is a predicted model, not a curated record. Lineage: Eukaryota; Metazoa; Chordata; Mammalia; Rodentia; Muridae.
UGGACAAAGGCUUCCUGUCCAAAAGGAGACUAAGAACACACACAGCAAGGACUCAGAUGAAAUCCCAUUUCAGGAGACCCAGCUCAGACAUGAAGGCACCGGGUUGAGUAUGUCACAGAUGAGAGUCAACUGCUCCAGGGUAACUACCAGUGGACUGCUCCCCCUUCCCCCCCAUUAAGAGGGAUGUUGCAGUGUUAGGAGAGCAGGCACAGGGUGACCAGAGCAGAAGCGCGUCCACUGGAGACAAUAAAACCAGUUCUUCAAGAGAAAAUGAAGCAAUUAAUUAUUCAAGGGCAAGGAGCUCUCCGUCCUUCAUGUCCUUCAUUUCCGCAGACCACAUUCCCCUCGGCUGUUUAAAUAGGAGAUCGACCUGCACUUAAGUAAGGAGUCAAGGGCCGGUCCAUUCAAGAUCUCUUAAUUCAAGGAUUCCUGAUUCUAAAAGGGAAGAAACCGGAUGCCUGCUUUCUGAUGCCAGUGGUGGGGGGCUGUCUGAAGUCCUGCAAGGUCUGGGGACAAACUUUGGGAAGGUGCUCAAUGCCACAGCAAAGGGAUGCUGUCUCCCUUGUUUUUCUCUGAGCUGCUUGGGGUAUUCUGAGGCCCAGAAUACCCUAUCCUGGGGGUAGAAUUCUUUUUUUCUCCUAUUCUCGGAACUGAAUCUGAAAUCUUAUGCAUGAGUCAAUUACUCUGUCUCUGAACUGUCUCCCCAGCCUCUGCCAGGACACUUUUGAGCUGGGGGUACAGCUAGGGAAGAAGUCCCCAAACUCUGGAUAACCCACUGUGCUAGACAGUGAGCAACUUUACCCAGCCCCCUCCUCCAAUACAUCUUCCUUCUUAAUAAUGGCCUGAGCUUCGUUCCUUUUCUCCCAAUAUGUCAAGAUAGCUUAUUAAUUUUGGUAAGCGAUGCUGAGUCAUUUUGAACGAUUAAGUGCAGAGAAAUGUCAACUAUCCAAGUGUCUGCGGUAAAGAGAAUUGGAUUAGAUGCCACUUGAUAUUUUGGAAGAAAAUUAUUACUGCCCAGGAGAAUUUUAUGUAUAUUUAGCUUACUUUAGGAUAUCCAGAGUCUGCCAGUGUGGAGCUUUCUGGUAAAUGCUAACAGUCUCCUUGGCACUCUUCUGGAAAGGGGUAAGAAGAGAAGAGACCAAGUCAAGCUUUAAUCCCUGUCAGCACUUAGACAGAGCCAACCAUGGGUUCAGCCCUUCAAGGUGGGUUUGUAAAUGGGCUGAAAACCAAGUGUGUUUUCCCUGCAUUAAAAUCCAAUCUGAUAUGUGCAUGUAUGUAACCAUUAACAGGCUAAAGUGGUAUUUUUCUGAAGGGAAGAAAUGGGGGGAGACACAAAUGGAGGGGACACAUACUCACACACUCAUUGAGCAUACAUGCACGUACCUACCACACAUACAUAAGAAGUAUGGCACAUGCUACUGGCCAGUUUUGUGUUUCAACUUGACACAAGCUGGAGUUAUCACAGAGAAAGGAGUCUCCCUUGAGGAAAUGCCUCCAUGAGAUCCAGAUGUAAGGCAUUUUCUCAAUUAGUGAUUAAUAGGGGAAACCCAGACCACGGUUGGUGGCGCCCUUCCUGGGCUGGUGGUGCUGGAUUCUAUACGGCGGUAGGCUGAGCAAGCCAGGAAGCAGCCCCCUCCAUGGCCUCUGCAGCAGCUCCUGUCUCAGGUUCCAGACCUGCUUGAGUUCCUGUCCUGACUUUCUCCAAUGAUGGAUUGUGAUCUGGCAGUAUAAGCCAAAUAAACCCUUUCCUCCCUAACUUGCUUUCUGGCCAUGUUUUGUCCCAGUCUUAAAACCCAGACUAAGACACCACUAUUGUGUUGCGAUUUCCUCCAAAGCAAAACAUUCCAUCCUAGAGGGAUGGAUGGAAGAGACUCUUGAG